GAUGAACGCUAGCGGCAGGCCUAAUACAUGCAAGUCGGACGGGAUUCACCAGCUUGCUGGUGAUGAGAGUGGCGCACGGGUGCGUAACGCGUGAGCAACCUGCCCAUAUCAGGGGGAUAGCCCGGAGAAAUUCGGAGUAAGACCGCAUAAUACAGAUUGAAUGCAUGGAUAAACGGUCAAAUAUUUAUAGGAUAUGGAUGGGCUCGCGUGACAUUAGAUAGUUGGUAGGGUAACGGGUUACCAAGGCGACGAUGUCGAGGGGCGCUGAGAGGAGAAUCCCCCACACUGGUACUGGGACACGGACCAGACUCCUACGGGAGGCAGCAGUAAGGAAUAUGGGUCAAUGGGCGCAAGCCUGAACCAGCCAUGCCGCGUGCAGGAUGACUGCCCUACGGGUUGUAAACUGCUUUUAUACGGGAAUAACCCUCUUUAUGUAGAGAGAGCUGAAUGUACCGUAAGAAUAAGGAUCGGCUAACUCCGUGCCAGCAGCCGCCGUAA
This 498-nucleotide ribosomal RNA is filed under the name uncultured bacterium. RNAcentral's name for it is "partial 16S ribosomal RNA". It matches the Rfam family "Bacterial small subunit ribosomal RNA", at positions 28 to 523 of the family's 1533-position model. The record is from RNAcentral.